Molecule: transfer-messenger RNA, 351 nt
Filed under: Gammaproteobacteria bacterium ESL0073
Lineage: Bacteria; Pseudomonadati; Pseudomonadota; Gammaproteobacteria
Also listed under: 1 other name
Rfam family: transfer-messenger RNA
About the family: Bacterial tmRNA, also known as 10Sa RNA or SsrA, is named for its dual tRNA and mRNA-like properties. Its role is to liberate the mRNA from a stalled ribosome.
Source: Rfam by way of RNAcentral
GGGGUCGAUUAGGAUUCGACGCUGGUGAUGAAACUUGAGGGGCAUGUCGAGCUGGUAGCAAACCUCGUAAAUUAGUUGCUACAAAUUAUAGUUGCAAACGAAGACAACUACGCUUUAGCUGCUUAGUCAGCUAACAGAUGUUAGGGGCUGCCUGUAAUCCCAAAACAUCUGUCAAAUAGAACAGGAUCGUCACAAAGUUUGCUAUAGACGGCGUGAUUAAACUUUAUAUAGCUAGCUCAAAGCACCCUGCCUAUCGGGCGGCGAUGAGUCAAUUUAAUAGAUAAGGCUAAGCAUGUAGAACCGAUAGCGGAGUGCUGGCGGACGGGGGUUCAAAUCCCCCCGGCUCCACCA